Molecule: ribosomal RNA, 430 nt
Filed under: uncultured bacterium
Lineage: Bacteria
Description: bacterial SSU rRNA
Rfam family: Bacterial small subunit ribosomal RNA
Source: RNAcentral
GGACCCGCACAAGUAGUGGAGCAUGUGGUUUAAUUCGAAGAUACGCGCAGAACCUUACCAACACUUGACAUGUUCGUCGCGACUUUAAGAGAUUAAAGUUUUCGGUUCGGCCGGACGAAACACAGGUGCUGCAUGGCUGUCGUCAGCUCGUGUCGUGAGAUGUUGGGUUAAGUCCCGCAACGAGCGCAACCCUUACUUUUAGUUGCCAUCAUUAAGUUGGGCACUCUGAAAGAACUGCCAGUGAUAAGCUGGAGGAAGGUGGGGAUGACGUCAAGUCCUCAUGGCCCUUACGUGUUGGGCUACACACGUGCUACAAUGGUAUCUACAACAGGAAGCAAGACGGCGACGUCAAGCAAAUCCUUAAAAGAUACCUCAGUUCGGAUUGCACUCUGCAACUCGAGUGCAUGAAGCUGGAAUUACUAGUAAUCGU